This 433-nucleotide ribosomal RNA is filed under the name uncultured bacterium. RNAcentral describes it as "partial 16S ribosomal RNA". It matches the Rfam family "Bacterial small subunit ribosomal RNA", at positions 29 to 507 of the family's 1533-position model. The record is from RNAcentral.
AACGAACGCUGGCGGCAUGCCUAACACAUGCAAGUCGAACGAGACCUUCGGGUCUAGUGGCGCACGGGUGCGUAACGCGUGGGAACCUGCCCUUAGGUUCGGAAUAACUCCCCUAAAGGGGUGCUAAUACCGGAUAAUGUCUUCGGACCAAAGAUUUAUCGCCUUUGGAUGGGCCCGCGUUGGAUUAGCUAGUUGGUAGUGUAAAAGCCUACCAAGGCGACGAUCCAUAGCUGGUCUGAGAGGAUGAUCAGCCACACUGGGACUGAGACACGGCCCAGACUCCUACGGGAGGCAGCAGUGGGGAAUAUUGGACAAUGGGCGAAAGCCUGAUCCAGCAAUGCCGCGUGAGUGAUGAAGGGCUUAGGGUUGUAAAGCUCUUUUACCCGGGAUGAUAAUGACAGUACCGGGAGAAUAAGCACCGGCUAACUCCGUG